RNAcentral lists this ribosomal RNA (1230 nucleotides) under metagenome. RNAcentral describes it as "bacterial LSU rRNA". It matches the Rfam family "Bacterial large subunit ribosomal RNA", at positions 1689 to 2925 of the family's 2925-position model. The record is from RNAcentral.
UCGAGAUAACUCUCUCUAAGGAACUCGGCAAAAUGGCCCCGUAACUUCGGAAGAAGGGGUGCCCACGAGAGUGGGUCGCAGUGAAGAGAUCCAGGCGACUGUUUACCAAAAACACAGGUCUCCGCUAACUCGAAAGAGGACGUAUGGGGGCUGACGCCUGCCCAGUGCCGGAAGGUUAAGGAAGUUGGUCAGGGGUUCGCCCUGAAGCUGACGACCGAAGCCCCGGUGAACGGCGGCCGUAACUAUAACGGUCCUAAGGUAGCGAAAUUCCUUGUCGGGUAAGUUCCGACCCGCACGAAAGGCGUAACGAUCUGGAUGGUGUCUCAGAGAGAGACUCGGCGAAAUAGGAAUGUCUGUGAAGAUACGGACUGCCUGCACCUGGACAGAAAGACCCUAUGAAGCUUUACUGUAGCCUGGAAUUGUGUUCGGGCUUGGCUUGCGCAGGAUAGGUGGGAAGCACAGAAGUACCCCUUGUGGGGGGUAUGGAGCUAACGGUGAGAUACCACUCUGGCGAAGCUAGAAUUCUAACCUAGCACCCUCAGCGGGUGUAGGAACAGUUUCAGGUGGGCAGUUUGACUGGGGCGGUCGCCUCCUAAAAGGUAACGGAGGCGCGCAAAGGUUCUCUCAGCACGCUUGGAAACCGUGCGGCGAGUGUAAAGGCAUAAAGAGAGCUUGACUGCAAGAGUGACAACUCAAGCAGGGACGAAAGUCGGCCUUAGUGAUCCGACGGCACAGAAUGGAAUGGCCGUCGCUCAACGGAUAAAAGGUACUCCGGGGAUAACAGGCUGAUUCCUCCCAAGAGUUCACAUCGACGGGGGAGUUUGGCACCUCGAUGUCGGCUCAUCACAUCCUGGGGCUGAAGCCGGUCCCAAGGGUAUGGCUGUUCGCCAUUUAAAGUGGUACGCGAGCUGGGUUUAGAACGUCGUGAGACAGUUCGGUCCCUAUCUGCCGUGGGCGUUGGAAAUUUGAGAAGAGUUGCUCCUAGUACGAGAGGACCGGAGUGAACGAACCUCUGGUGUUCGGGUUGCGUCGCCAGACGCAUUGCCCGGUAGCUAUGUUCGGACGGGAUAACCGCUGAAAGCAUCUAAGCGGGAAGCCUCCUUCAAGAUAAGAUUUCCCUGGGGCUUGACCCCCUAAAGGGCCGUUUAAGACUAAGACGUUGAUAGGUCGGGUGUGGAAGCGUUGUGAGGCGUUGAGCUAACCGAUACUAAUUGCCCGUGAGGCUUGACC